This 77-nucleotide transfer RNA is filed under the name Actinomycetota bacterium. Its description in RNAcentral is "tRNA-Arg". It matches the Rfam family "tRNA". Rfam says of the family: Transfer RNA (tRNA) molecules are approximately 80 nucleotides in length. Their secondary structure includes four short double-helical elements and three loops (D, anti-codon, and T loops). Further hydrogen bonds mediate the characteristic L-shaped molecular structure. tRNAs have two regions of fundamental functional importance: the anti-codon, which is responsible for specific mRNA codon recognition, and the 3' end, to which the tRNAs corresponding amino acid is attached (by aminoacyl-tRNA synthetases). tRNAs cope with the degeneracy of the genetic code in two manners: having more than one tRNA (with a specific anti-codon) for a particular amino acid; and 'wobble' base-pairing, i.e. permitting non-standard base-pairing at the 3rd anti-codon position. Lineage: Bacteria; Bacillati; Actinomycetota. RNAcentral also lists the same sequence under 1 other name. The record is from RNAcentral.
GCGCCCGUGGCUCAAUUGGAUAGAGCGCUGGAUUACGGAUCCAGAGGUUGGAGGUUCGACUCCUCCCGGGCGCACCA